Molecule: long non-coding RNA, 2337 nt
Filed under: Homo sapiens (human)
Lineage: Eukaryota; Metazoa; Chordata; Mammalia; Primates; Hominidae
Description: HSALNT0042982
Source: RNAcentral
GUCCCGCGGCGCCGGAAACUGGGCGCACACACCCUCGGAUUGACGUGCGCACGCGCACCGGUUACCUUCAGGAGCGCCGAAGAAGGAAAGAAGAACACAGAGCCCGAGGCAAAGCUUAAGUGCUUACGCUUUUGUCGGGAGGUACAGACCCAGCUCUGCGAGAGCCAGGGGAAAAGGAAGAGAGGCAGGGAAGGAAUGGCAGCAAGUACAAGGUGAUGAAUGACUGCACUGGCCAUUGCUUCAUGAAGAGCCACGAAAAAACAGAGCCGGUUUCUCAGCAGGUGGCUGGCUGCUCAGUCACAAAGGACCUCUUUGGACAGGCUUUAUGGAAAUACUGUGCCUAGGACAGUCGCUCAAAGGCAGGAGGGAGAGAAAAUGCAUCUGCAAGCUCACUUUGUCUUCUUUCUUCUGCUGGUCAAAAUUUGCUGGCUGGGGCAGUUAACGCCCUCACACAUCCGAGUUGUGUCACCUGGCCCCUUUGGUAGCCACUGGGGAAGCCAGAUCUAGGCAUGUGGCCUGAUGGCUCCUGCGGUGGAACCACAUGCUCACACUCAGUCAGUCACCACUGGGAUGCCCUGGGCAGGGCAGGCUGAGUGGCUGGGAGAUAGCUGAGCCUAAGAUAUCUAAGCAAGCACCUGUGAUGUAUGCACUGCAGUGUCCAAAUGUGAAAAAGCAAGAAAGGGAGAUAGAAGCAUAUUUUUUUCUGGAGAGAAGGAGGAAACCACCAGGAGAAUACAAACAGAAAAAAGACAUGCUCAUCAUGCCCUGCAAACUCCUAUGAACUGGAACUACAGCAGCUGUUCUGCCAGGGACAGGUUCUUCUCUAAAGUUCCAGCUCUCUGGAGGGAGAAAGCCCUGACUUUGGAUGGAGUUGAGCUCUGUCGCCCAGGCUGGAGUGCAGUGGCACCAUCUCAGCUGACUGUGACCUCCGCCUCCUGGGUUCAAGUGAUUCUCCUGCAUCAGCCUCCCGAGUAGCUGGGACUACAGGUGCACACCACCAUGCCCGGCUAAUUUUUGUAUUUUUAGUAGAGACGGGGUUUUGCCAUGAUGGCCAGGUUUGGUCUCAAACUCCUAACCUCAAGUGAUCCACCCUCCUCAGCCUCCCAAAGUGCUGGGAUUACAGGCGUGAGCCACUGCGCCCCGCCUACUUGAAUUUUUUUUUUUUUUUUUUUUUUUGAGACAGAGUUUUGCUCCUGUUGCCCAGGCUGGAGUGCAACGGCAUGAUCUCGACUCACUGCAACCUCUGCCUCCUGGGUUCAAGUGAUUCUCCUGCCUCAGCCUCCCAAAUAGCUGGGAUUACAGGUGCCCACCACUGUGCCUGGCUGAUUGUAUUUUUAGUAGAGAUGGGGUUUCAUCAUGUUGGUCAGGCUGGUCUUGAACUCCAGACCUCAGGUGAUCGGACUGCCUCGGCCUCCCAAAGUGCUGGGAUUACAGGCAUGACCCACUGUGCCCGGACCUGCUUGAAUUUUUAUGAUGAGCAUGUUGGCAGAUCACGACUGCCAGCUCCGUGACAGCAAGAACCUUGUAUGACUUUUUCAUGAUGGAUGUUCAUCUGUGCCAUCUGUAAAUAUUGAAUAAAUAUUUGUGGAAUACAUGAAUCUAAAAGUGAAUGGAAUGAUAAAGAGGGAAAGGGUCAUGACAUCUACUACAGCAUUUGGCACAGACCCAGCUGUCUGCAGUACUAUCAAGAGAUGACAUGGACUUCAAGGAUCAAACAGGGGAGAAAAAGGCUUAAAAGAAAAACAAGUCUCCAUCAAAGGUAAUAACCACAAUGAGAACUAUACAUAGCUAUGUGCUUAUAGGUCUUAGUUCACAUUCCCCUCAUUAAAAUUAUAGCUCAAGAAAUAAAGGGCUGUUUAAUGACUUGGGUAUAUAAAUAUACUUCAUUUGUAUAUUUUUUACUUGCUAAAAUCUAUCCAAAUUGGUAUUACCUCAAACCAUAAUCUUCUACUGUAUUUUAUAAUUUUACUUUAUUGCCAUGUAUUUUUCCCACUGAUGUUCACAAAUUCACAGGAAACAUCAGCCAUGUACUAAAUAAAAUAUGAAUUGAAUCGACAAAUAGAACUAUAAAUUUAAUUCAAGCACAUGUAAAAUUUAGACCAAAGAAUAAAAAUGUCUAUUAAAAAUACAGCCAAGCAUGGUGGCUCACACCUGUAAUCCCAGCACUUUGGGAGGCCGAGGUGGGUGAAUCAUCUGAGGUCAAGAGUUUGAGACCAGCUGGCCAUUGUGGUGAAACCCCAUCUCUACUAAAAUACAAAAAUUAGCUGGGUGUGAUGGUGGGCACCUGUAAUCCCACUACUUGGGAGGCUGAGGCAGGAGAAUCGCUUGAACCCAGGA